UGCAGUCGAGCGGACAGAAGGGAGCUUGCUCCCGGAUGUUAGCGGCGGACGGGUGAGUAACACGUGGGUAACCUGCCUGUAAGACUGGGAUAACUCCGGGAAACCGGAGCUAAUACCGGAUAGUUCCUUGAACCGCAUGGUUCAAGGAUGAAAGACGGUUUCGGCUGUCACUUACAGAUGGACCCGCGGCGCAUUAGCUAGUUGGUGAGGUAACGGCUCACCAAGGCGACGAUGCGUAGCCGACCUGAGAGGGUGAUCGGCCACACUGGGACUGAGACACGGCCCAGACUCCUACGGGAGGCAGCAGUAGGGAAUCUUCCGCAAUGGACGAAAGUCUGACGGAGCAACGCCGCGUGAGUGAUGAAGGUUUUCGGAUCGUAAAGCUCUGUUGUUAGGGAAGAACAAGUGCAAGAGUAACUGCUUGCACCUUGACGGUACCUAACCAGAAAGCCACGGCUAACUACGUGCCAGCAGCCGCGGUAAUACGUAGGUGGCAAGCGUUGUCCGGAAUUAUUGGGCGUAAAGGGCUCGCAGGCGGUUUCUUAAGUCUGAUGUGAAAGCCCCCGGCUCAACCGGGGAGGGUCAUUGGAAACUGGGAAACUUGAGUGCAGAAGAGGAGAGUGGAAUUCCACGUGUAGCGGUGAAAUGCGUAGAGAUGUGGAGGAACACCAGUGGCGAAGGCGACUCUCUGGUCUGUAACUGACGCUGAGGAGCGAAAGCGUGGGGAGCGAACAGGAUUAGAUACCCUGGUAGUCCACGCCGUAAACGAUGAGUGCUAAGUGUUAGGGGGUUUCCGCCCCUUAGUGCUGCAGCUAACGCAUUAAGCACUCCGCCUGGGGGAGUACGGUCGCAAGACUGAGACUCAAAGGAAUUGACGGGGGGCCCGCACAAGCGGUGGAGCAAGUGGGUUUAAUUCGAAGCAACGCGGAAGAAACCUUACCAGGGUCUUGGACAUCCUCCUGACAAACCCUAGAGAAUAGGGCUUUUCCCUU
RNAcentral lists this ribosomal RNA (992 nucleotides) under Bacillus altitudinis. RNAcentral's name for it is "bacterial SSU rRNA". It matches the Rfam family "Bacterial small subunit ribosomal RNA", at positions 56 to 1021 of the family's 1533-position model. The record is from RNAcentral. Lineage: Bacteria; Bacillati; Bacillota; Bacilli; Caryophanales; Bacillaceae.